RNAcentral lists this ribosomal RNA (370 nucleotides) under uncultured Streptomyces sp. RNAcentral describes it as "bacterial SSU rRNA". It matches the Rfam family "Bacterial small subunit ribosomal RNA", at positions 536 to 903 of the family's 1533-position model. Lineage: Bacteria; Bacillati; Actinomycetota; Actinomycetes; Kitasatosporales; Streptomycetaceae. The record is from RNAcentral.
AAGCGUUGUCCGGAAUUAUUGGGCGUAAAGAGCUCGUAGGCGGCUUGUCACGUCGGAUGUGAAAGCCCGGGGCUUAACCCCGGGUCUGCAUUCGAUACGGGCUAGCUAGAGUGUGGUAGGGGAGAUCGGAAUUCCUGGUGUAGCGGUGAAAUGCGCAGAUAUCAGGAGGAACACCGGUGGCGAAGGCGGAUCUCUGGGCCAUUACUGACGCUGAGGAGCGAAAGCGUGGGGAGCGAACAGGAUUAGAUACCCUGGUAGUCCACGCCGUAAACGUUGGGAACUAGGUGUUGGCGACAUUCCACGUCGUCGGUGCCGCAGCUAACGCAUUAAGUUCCCCGCCUGGGGAGUACGGCCGCAAGGCUAAAACUCA